Molecule: RNase P RNA, 339 nt
Filed under: Pseudorhodoferax soli
Lineage: Bacteria; Pseudomonadati; Pseudomonadota; Betaproteobacteria; Burkholderiales; Comamonadaceae
Description: Bacterial RNase P class A
Rfam family: Bacterial RNase P class A
About the family: Ribonuclease P (RNase P) is a ubiquitous endoribonuclease, found in archaea, bacteria and eukarya as well as chloroplasts and mitochondria.
Source: RNAcentral
GAAGCCCGCCAGGCCGCCGCUGGUGCAAUCGCCGAAAGGCCGCACUGGAGGAACGUCCGGACUGCACAGGGCAGCGUAGGAGCUAACGGCUCUCCACCGUGAGGUGAGGAUCAGAGCAACAGAGACGAGUCCCGGGGGAGUGCCGCAAGGCAGACCACUGGGGGUGAAACGGGCAAUCUCUACGCGCAGCAAUACCAAAUAGGCCAGCGUUGAUGUGGCUCCGCGGAGCUGGCGGGUAGGUAGCACCGAGCCGUCUGGCGACAGACGGCCCAGAGGAAUGGCGGUCACACCGGGGGCGACCCCGGUGCACAGAAUCCGGCGUAUCGGCGGGCUUCACAC